AAAGAACUGGAAACUGAGAUAAGGGAGGGUAUUGCUGCUACCCUCAGUGUCAUCCCAGUGAAGAAAAAGGUUGAAAGUUUGAGAGAGAAACUAGCAUCACUCACCAAAGAUGAUGCGGAAAGUAAAGUCGUUGCAGAAAAUGGAAGAUGCUGAAACUAGCUCAUGAGUGCUAGCUUGGAUAGUAGUAUUAGAUUUUGGUUUUGGAAGAGUUUUUU
This 215-nucleotide unclassified non-coding RNA is filed under the name Hevea brasiliensis (rubber tree). The record is from RNAcentral. Lineage: Eukaryota; Viridiplantae; Streptophyta; Magnoliopsida; Malpighiales; Euphorbiaceae.